UGGGGAAUAUUGCACAAUGGGCGAAAGCCUGAUGCAGCAACGCCGCGUGUGUGAAGAAGGCCUUCGGGUUGUAAAGCACUUUUGUCCGGAAAGAAAUCCUUGGCUCUAAUACAGUCGGGGGAUGACGGUACCGGAAGAAUAAGCACCGGCUAACUACGUGCCAGCAGCCGCGGUAAUACGUAGGGUGCAAGCGUUAAUCGGAAUUACUGGGCGUAAAGCGUGCGCAGGCGGUUUGCUAAGACCGAUGUGAAAUCCCCGGGCUCAACCUGGGAACUGCAUUGGUGACUGGCAGGCUAGAGUAUGGCAGAGGGGGGUAGAAUUCCACGUGUAGCAGUGAAAUGCGUAGAGAUGUGGAGGAAUACCGAUGGCGAAGGCAGCCCCCUGGGCCAAUACUGACGCUCAUGCACGAAAAGCGUGGGGAGCAAACAGGAUUAGAUACCCUGGUAGUCCACGCCCUAAACGAUGUCAACUAGUUGUUGGGGAUUCAUUUCCUUAGUAACGUAGCUAACGCGUGAAGUUGACCGCCUGGGGAGUACGGUCGCAAGAUUAAAACUUAAAUGAAUUGACGGGGUCAUAGCUGUUUCCUG
This 587-nucleotide ribosomal RNA is filed under the name uncultured bacterium. RNAcentral describes it as "partial 16S ribosomal RNA". It matches the Rfam family "Bacterial small subunit ribosomal RNA", at positions 355 to 1376 of the family's 1533-position model. The record is from RNAcentral.